RNAcentral lists this ribosomal RNA (1378 nucleotides) under uncultured bacterium. Its description in RNAcentral is "partial 16S ribosomal RNA". It matches the Rfam family "Bacterial small subunit ribosomal RNA". The record is from RNAcentral.
AGAGUUUGAUCCUGGCUCAGGACGAACGCUGGCGGCGUGCUUAACACAUGCAAGUCGAGCGGGGAUAAGAGCUUCGGUUCUUAUUCUAGCGGCGGACGGGUGAGUAACGCGUGAACAAUCUGUCCCAGACAGGGGGAUAACAGAUGGAAACAUCUGCUAAUACCGCAUAAGACCACGACCUGGCAUCGGGUUGAGGUAAAAGGAGCAAUCCGGUUUGGGGUGAGUUCGCGUCCGAUUAGCUAGUUGGUGAGGUAACGGCCCACCAAGGCAACGAUCGGUAGCCGACCUGAGAGGGUGAUCGGCCACAUUGGAACUGAGACACGGUCCAAACUCCUACGGGAGGCAGCAGUGGGGAAUAUUGGGCAAUGGGCGAAAGCCUGACCCAGCAACGCCGCGUGAGGGAAGAAGGUUCUCGGAUUGUAAACCUCUGUCCUUGGUGACGAAGGAAGUGACGGUAGCCAAGGAGGAAGCCCCGGCUAACUACGUGCCAGCAGCCGCGGUAAUACGUAGGGGGCAAGCGUUGUCCGGAAUGACUAGGCAUAAAGGGCGUGUAGGCGGCCGAUUAAGUCUGGAGUGAAAGUCCUGCUUUCAAGGUGGGAAUUGCUUUGGAGACUGGUUGGCUUGAGUGCGGAAGAAGUAAGUGGAAUUCCCAGUGUAGCGGUGAAAUGCGUAGAGAUUGGGAGGAACACCAGUGGCGAAGGCGACUUACUGGGCCGUAACUGACGCUGAGGCGCGAAAGCGUGGGGAGCAAACAGGAUUAGAUACCCUGGUAGUCCACGCCGUAAACGAUGAGUACUAGCUGUCGGAGGUUACCCCCUUCGGUGGCGCAGCUAACGCAUUAAGUACUCCGCCUGGGAAGUACGCUCGCAAGAGUGAAACUCAAAGGAAUUGACGGGGACCCGCACAAGUAGCGGAGCAUGUGGUUUAAUUCGAAGCAACGCGAAGAACCUUACCUAAGCUUGACAUCCUUUUGACCUCUCCCUAAUCGGAGAUUUCCCUUCGGGGACAGAAGUGACAGGUGGUGCAUGGUUGUCGUCAGCUCGUGUCGUGAGAUGUUGGGUUAAGUCCCGCAACGAGCGCAACCCUUGCCUUUAGUUGCCAGCAUUAAGUUGGGCACUCUAGAGGGACUGCCAGGGAUAACCUGGAGGAAGGUGGGGAUGACGUCAAAUCAUCAUGCCCCUUAUGCUUAGGGCUACACACGUGCUACAAUGGGUGGUACAGAGGGCAGCCAAGUCGUGAGGCGGAGCUAAUCCCUUAAAGCCAUUCUCAGUUCGGAUUGUAGGCUGAAACUCGCCUACAUGAAGCUGGAGUUACUAGUAAUCGCAGAUCAGAAUGCUGCGGUGAAUGCGUUCCCGGGUCUUGCACACACCGCCCGUCA